UGCAAGUCGAACGAAGCGAGAGGAGCUUGCUCCUUAAGCUUAGUGGCGGACGGGUGAGUAACGUGUGGGCAACCUGCCUUUUACAGGGGAAUAAUCACUGGAAACGGUGACUAAUACCGCAUACGAUCUUCGGAAGGCAUCUUCUGGAGAGGAAAGGAGCAAUCCGGUAAAAGAUGGGCCCGCAUCUGAUUAGCUAGUUGGUGAGAUAAUAGCCCACCAAGGCAACGAUCAGUAGCCGACCUGAGAGGGUGAUCGGCCACAUUGGGACUGAGACACGGCCCAAACUCCUACGGGAGGCAGCAGUGGGGAAUAUUGCACAAUGGGGGAAACCCUGAUGCAGCAACGCCGCGUGAAGGAAGAAGGUUUUCGGAUCGUAAACUUCUAUCAAUAGGGACGAAAAAAUGACGGUACCUAAAUAAGAAGCCCCGGCUAACUACGUGCCAGCAGCCGCGGUAAUACGUAGGGGGCAAGCGUUAUCCGGAAUUACUGGGUGUAAAGGGAGCGUAGGCGGCAUGGUAAGUAAGAUGUGAAAGCCCGAGGCUUAACCUCGAGGAUUGCAUUUUAAACUAUCAAGCUAGAGUACAGGAGAGGAAAGCGGAAUUCCUAGUGUAGCGGUGAAAUGCGUAGAUAUUAGGAAGAACACCAGUGGCGAAGGCGGCUUUCUGGACUGAAACUGACGCUGAGGCUCGAAAGCGUGGGGAGCGAACAGGAUUAGAUACCCUGGUAGUCCACGCCGUAAACGAUGAGUGCUAGGUGUCGGGGAGGAAUCCUCGGUGCCGCAGUUAACACAAUAAGCACUCCACCUGGGGAGUACGACCGCAAGGUUGAAACUCAAAGGAAUUGACGGGGGCCCGCACAAGCGGUGGAGCAUGUGGUUUAAUUCGAAGCAACGCGAAGAA
RNAcentral lists this ribosomal RNA (899 nucleotides) under uncultured bacterium. Its description in RNAcentral is "bacterial SSU rRNA". It matches the Rfam family "Bacterial small subunit ribosomal RNA", at positions 56 to 968 of the family's 1533-position model. The record is from RNAcentral.